ACAGAUUAAUUGAAAUAGGUUGCAUGCACUUUUCUACGAUAAAAGAAUGCUGAGAUUUUGAACAAAGAAUCAAUCCACUUUUCUCUCCCACACUGUAUCGUUGUCAUUAUGCUCAUAUGAAUCAGUUCUUGCAGCAAUAAUGUGUAUAUUCAAACAGCUCAGUGAUUGCAGUGCUAUAAUACCAAACACAGUUGAAUGUACAGUGCCUUCAGAUAUGAUUCAUAGCCCUUAUUCCACAUUGUGUUGAAUUACAGCCUGAAUUCAAAAUGAAUUUAAAAAAUAAUCUCACUAAACUACACACAAUACAUCAUAAUGACAAAGUGAAAAUAUGUUUUUAGAAAUGUUUGCAAAUGUAUUGAACGUACAGAACUAUCAAAUUGACAUACAUCUUCACACCCCUGACUCAUUAGAUGUUAGAAUCACCUUUGGCAGGGAUUACAGCUGUGAGCAUUUCUGGGUAAACUGCCAAGAGCUUUGUACACCUGCAUUGUACAAUAUUUGACCAUUAUUCUUUUAACAAUUGUUGACCAUUGCUGGAGAGCAGUUUUCAAGUCUUGCCAUAGAUUUUCAAGCCCAUUUAAAUCAAAACUGUAACUAGGCCAUUCGGGAAAAUUCAUUGUCAUCUUGGUAAACAAUUACAAUUAUUAUCUCCUUUGUUUAGUUGACGUUGAGUGUGAGGUUAUGUUCCUGACACCACACUCCGAGGGCCCUCACCUCCUCCCUGUAGGCCGUCUCGUCGUUGUUGGUAAUCAAGCCUACCACUAGUGUUGUCUACAAACUUGAUGAUUGAGUUGGAGGCGUGCAUGGCCACACAGUCAUGGGUGAACAGGGAGUACAGGAGAGGGCUGAGAAUGCACCCUUGUGGGUCCCCAAUGUUGAGGAUCAGCGGGGUGGAGAUGUUGUUUCCUACCCUCACCACCUGGGGCGGCCCGACAGGAAGUCCAGGACCCAGUUGCACAGGGUGGGAUCGAGACCCAGGGGCUCGAGCUUAAUGACGAGUUUGGAGGGUGCUAUGGUGUUAAAUGCUGAGCUGUAGUUGAUGAACAGCAUUCUUACGUAGGUAUUCCUAUUGGGACGGUAAGCAAAUUGGAGUGGGUCUAGGGUGUCAGGUAGGGUGGAGGUGAUAUGGUCCUUGACUAGUCUCUCAAAGCACUUCAUGAUGACGGAAGUGAGUGCUACGGGGCGGUAGUCGUUUAGCUCAGUUACCUUAGCUUUCUUGGGAACAGGAACAAUGGUGGCCCUCUUGAAGCAUGUGGAAACAGCAAACCGGGAUAAGGAUUGAUGGAAUACGUCCGUUAACACACCAGCCAGUUGGUCUGCGAAUGCGUUGAGAACGCAGCUAGGGAUGCCGUCUGGGCCUGGCAGUGUACCAUAUCUGAUCUCAUAAAUUAUAAUAUUGGAGUAAAGUGUCCGUGUGGGUCAGUAUCCUACACUGGGUGUAAUAUUGGAGUAAAGUGUCCGUGUGGGUCAGUAUCCUACACUGGGUGUAAUAUUGGAGUAAAGUGUCCGUGUGGGUCAGUAUCCUACACUGGGUGUAAUAUUGGAGUAAAGUGUCCGUGUGGGUCAGUAUCCUACACUGGGUGUAAUAUUGGAGUAAAGUGUCCGUGUGGGUCAGUAUCCUACACUGGGUGUAAUAUUGGAGUAAAGUAUCCGUGUGGGUCAGUAUCCUACACUGGGUGUAAUAUUGGAGUAAAGUGUCCGUGUGGGUCAGUAUCCUACACUGGGUGUAAUAUUGGAGUAAAGUGUCCGUGUGGGUCAGUAUCCUACACUGGGUGUAAUAUUGGAGUAAAGUGUCCGUGUGGGUCAGUAUCCUACACUGGGUGUAAUAUUGGAGUAAAGUAUCCGUGUGGGUCAGUAUCCUACACUGGGUGUAAUAUUGGAGUAAAGUGUCCGUGUGGGUCAGUAUCCUACACUGGGUGUAAUAUUGGAGUAAAGUAUCCGUGUGGGUCAGUAUCCUACACUGGGUGUAAUAUUGGAGUAAAGUGUCCGUGUGGGUCAGUAGCCUACGCAGGAUGUAGUAUUAUCUUAUUUAGACAAACAAUUCUGAACUAAUAUACCAUUGGACAAUAGGUUCAGAUAUACGGUAAGGUGGUUAACGUGGGUGGUUGGAAACAGACACUAUGUGUAACUAAAGUUCACAGUCAACUGAGAGUUCAUGUUCCAGAAUACUGCACAGAUGUUCUAAAUGUAAAUGUGAAUAUUGGAUCCAACAGGAGUAUUGUGUCGCUAGUUGGGCAGAGUGUGCACUUUUGGGACUAUCCUAUUGGUUCCAUUGUACUGGGUAAGCUAAGUAAAAACACAACAAAUAAAAGAACAUUAACAGAGAGAGGUCAAAGACAAAACUGAUCCUAGAUCAGCACUCGUAUUACUCUGGGACUCUCUGUGAAUACAGGCUCUGGUCACAUGUCCAUGGAUGACACAACCCAUCUAGUGUCCACUCUGGUAUUGCUAGAAGUUUUAUGAUAAGGAAUAUUUUCUAUUAACUAAAGUAUUUUUACUGUGCUAUGUCAGUUAUAUUUAGAAGGAAAACACUGGAGUUACUAUUUUUAUAUUAUAACACUUAGUAAUACAGUAUACUUGACAAGCAGAUGACAUACCUGGACCACAGUAUAUAGAUGUAUUUAAUCAGUAGAAUGAACAAAUGGAACAGAAUGGAAGCAAACAUAGAACACUGCUGCAUUUCAAAUGGAUUGAUAACUGUAAAAACUUCAAUGAAAACAGUAUCUUGUUAAAUUGGUAUAUGUCCACCAUAUAGGUAAACAUGUAAACCACAGUUAGAGCCUACGAGACCCCAGUUCCACUCCCCUGGGCCUGAUGAAUGGUCGACUCCACAUAGCUCUGGUCUCUUUAAAGACAGGAAUACAUCUUUCAAUGUAGUUAGUUCCACAUAGAAACAAAAACAGCUUAAGAAUAACAGUGAAAACCAGAACAACUCCAUAAGAUAUGGGGUUACAGUAGCUACUAUAAUUAGACUACGGUGUGAAUGGUUUUUCACACACCCAGUGUUUUGGAGAACACGGUCCAUCCUUCCAACUCUUCAAUGAGUCUGAUGCCGUCUGUGAGAUCUCAACACAGGCCACCUUGUCAUUCAAGUUAUUAGGUUCCCCUUCCAUCCAAUA
Long non-coding RNA from Oncorhynchus keta (chum salmon), 3119 nucleotides. RefSeq lists it as uncharacterized. Lineage: Eukaryota; Metazoa; Chordata; Actinopteri; Salmoniformes; Salmonidae. The record is from RefSeq and is a predicted model, not a curated record. The transcript has 3 exons.